Long non-coding RNA from Octopus sinensis (East Asian common octopus), 1369 nucleotides. RefSeq lists it as uncharacterized. Lineage: Eukaryota; Metazoa; Mollusca; Cephalopoda; Octopoda; Octopodidae. The record is from RefSeq and is a predicted model, not a curated record. The transcript is spliced from 3 exons.
AUAUAUAUAUAUAAUGUAUUUAUGUACAUUUAUAUGUAUAUAUAUGUGUGUGUAUAUAUAUAUAUGUGUAUAUACAUAGAUAUGUUUACAUGCAUGUAUAAUAUUAUAUAAGUAAACGUAUGCGUAUGCAUAUCUAUUUCUGUAUCAGUUCACCUGUUUUUGUAUAUACACAUAUCAUAUGCACACACCCCAACACACACACACACACACACACACACACACACACACACACACACACACACACACACACACACACACACACACACACACAUGUAUGAAAUUUUAUAUCUGUCUUUACGUAUGUCUUUCUGCGUUUGUCCUCUUUCUGUGUUAUCACUUCACUAUAAUGCCUGACAACCGGUGUUGGUUUCUUUAGGCCUCCUGUAAACCGGCUGUCCAAAAAAUGAAAUUGAUACAAUAAGUAUCAGAAUUAAGGAAAAAAAAAACCCAGAAAACGUGGAACGCAAGUACUGCGUUCGUUUUGCUCGGCCAAAACCCUUUCAGAGUAGUGUCCCUGCACGGUCGCUCUCUAACGUCUAAGUCAAGUUAUAAAAAUCGUAAAAAUGUAUUCUCUUUUAGAUGUACACAGAAACGAUAGAAAAUCUAAAGACGAAAUGAAAGACAGUAAACAUUCAACGCACAAAUAAAUGCUCCAGCCUGAGCUUAGUAUUUGAGACGCACUGAAAGGAUAGAAAAAAAAUACAACAAGGAGUUAAGAUAUGCGAUUCAUUUAACCAAAUACUGCAACUUUUCUCGAUCUGCUUCAAACAGAGAAAACGCUGACAGAAUUGAUAGAGACCUUCAGCAAAAGAACUCCUCAAAACACACACAUACACAUGCAUACACACACAUACACACACAUAUACAUACACAUGCACGCACACACACAUACACUCACACAAACACACACACACACACACACGCACGCACAUGCUCUACAUUGCCUGCUUUCAAUGUAGAAUCCUUCAUGUAAAUUUUAAUUUUUGUAUUACGCUAGGGUUUUGUACUUUCUGCGAGACUUUUUGUCUUCUGUGUUGCUAGCAAGGGAAGCUGAUGUCUUAUCUGAGAGGGCCACUAUGAAAAGCAGUCGUGGUAAGACAGUGCCAUGUGGAACACCAAUUACUAUUUGUGUUUCCUUUGGGGUAGCACCAUUGGCCACGACUGCCUGACUUCUGCCUUUCAGAAAGACAUGUAACCAUUCUCCAAGUUUUCUAGCUAAUUCAAGGAUCUCGCAGUUUGUGGCAUAUCACACCAUGAUCAACUUCGUCAAAAGCCUUUUCAAAAUCAAGGUAUAUUACUUCCACAUUUGAGUUGUGGAAUAUCUGCUUCAACGCCCAGUCAUAGUGCUAUAGGAGCUGGUUCAAGCGGC